GAAAAAUAAAAAGAUGAACUCUUUGAGAUUAGAGGUAAUAAUAUCAAGAAAUAUCUGUUCUCAUUUGAGUGCAUGUGUCUCUGCAAAAUUCAUAUGUUGGAACUUAAAGCCCAGGGUGAUGGUAUUAAGAGGUGGUAGAAAGGCAUUUGGGAAUGGAUUACAUCAUAAAGGCUCUACCCUGAUUAAUGGGAUUAUGGAACAGGCUUCAAAGAGCUACCUGGAACUUCCAUCACUUCUACCAUGUGAAGAUAAACAUGAAUCUCUUUUUUCCCUUAUAUUUCUUCUGCCAUGUGAGAACACAGUAUUUGUCUUUUCCACCUUUCCAUGAUGUGAGGACACCCCAAGAAUGUCCCCUAAAGACAGGAAACAAGACAUGGAAUCUUCUGGCACCAUGAUCUUGGACUUCAUAGCCUCCAAAAUGAAUAGAGAACCUACAGACCCGCAUGUAUUGAAGUUUGAAACCACCUGUGUAAACAGCACACAGAUGAAGGACCACUUUACCCUGUUUCUCACACCAUAGGUGUCAUAGACAUACUAAUGAAGGGGCUGCCUCACACAGAGAGCUAUCUUACAAGGUUCUGAGAAUAAAAUGAGAGCUAGAAGAGACAUGAUUUCUACUUCAAUAUUUUAUUUGGCAACAUCCUACUGAAAAGACAAGCAAAACCACUAUGAUUCAUAAUACUUGCAGAUGAAGGCAAUAUGACACAAGAAGGUUAAACGGCCUCUCAUGACAAUUGAAGGGAACGAGAGCAAAGCCACCUGCAUAUCUUCGGCAGUUAAAGAUCAGAAUCAUAACAACAAUAACAUCUCACAAUUUUCCAAGUGCUCCUUCGGCUCUGUCUUUUUCCUCCCACCUGAGGCCCCCAGGGUGGGUGUAGACAUUCAUCUCUGCUUCAUUUGAUCCACCUCUGCUUGGCCACUGCUGGACUUUUUCUCAGGCAAAGGAGAACCCCCAGGAGAGUGGAUAAACUGGACCAAGGAGCUGCAGAGCUUUGCUGUUCUAAGAGAAGUCAAGGUGAAGGGUUUAGUGCCUCUGAAGCUGGGGCAAGAAAACAAUCGGCUUCUCCAACGGUCAGUAAAGAAUACAAGGGCACAGUUAAAACAGAGCCACUGAAGUGAACAACCUUCAUGUGACCAACAGGAGAAACACCCCCUCCAGGAACCUAAGACCAGUUUGCUACAAGAAUACAAUUGGUAUUCCCCACAGUCACCCUCACAAGGGACACUUACAAAGCACACUCCAAUCUCAGCCAUUACUGACUGACAAGAGCCUGCCUGUCUGAAGCCUGCAGGCCCGAGAAGCUUCUUUCUCCCUUCUCUUGGCUAUUAGUCACAGCUGGUAAGGCUCACAGGAACCGAGACUGUUUGAAAACAGUUGGAUCACGAAAACGUUUGAGUCUUUCUGCUGCAAGCAACAAACUUGGCCCAGGCUGCCACAAGGAGAUGGAGUGGGAGUGGGGGUGGCGAUGGGAUGCACCAGGAACGAAGGAAGAAAGGGAAAUUGCUAACCACCUCACUUCAAAAUCUUCUCUGAGGGAGCCCGUGGCUAUUAUCCUGGUUCAAAUGUCACAGAUAGAAGAUAAUAAAAACAAGAAGAAAUAAAAUUCAAGAUCCAUUAGAACACUUCUGGAUUGUCCAUUACAGCAUGUAUUACCCAACAGAAAGAUGAUCACUAAUAGAUGACAAGCUAUUUAAUUUUAUGUUUACUUUUGGAAGGAUGCAGGUACUGUGCAGGGUUUCUACAACACAUCAGCAUUGCUUACACCAGUACUUCAAAUAUGAGUUAUUUAAUCACCCAAGUUAAAUGAAAAUAACCAAAUGAUUAAAUAAAAUCAAGUCAUACUUCAUGUGAAGACUUUA
Molecule: long non-coding RNA, 1860 nt
Filed under: Homo sapiens (human)
Lineage: Eukaryota; Metazoa; Chordata; Mammalia; Primates; Hominidae
Description: HSALNT0383556
Source: RNAcentral